Molecule: transfer RNA, 77 nt
Filed under: bacterium
Lineage: Bacteria
Description: tRNA-Arg
Rfam family: tRNA
About the family: Transfer RNA (tRNA) molecules are approximately 80 nucleotides in length. Their secondary structure includes four short double-helical elements and three loops (D, anti-codon, and T loops).
Source: RNAcentral
GCGCCAGUAGCUCAGCUGGACAGAGCAACGGCCUUCUAAGCCGUGGGCCGGGGGUUCGAAUCCCUCCUGGCGCGCCA